GCCCUUGUAACUCAGCUGGUAGAGUGUCAGAUUCGUAAUCUGGAUGCCGGGGGUUCAAAUCCCCCCAAGGGCUUCA
This 76-nucleotide transfer RNA is filed under the name Promethearchaeota archaeon. RNAcentral describes it as "Candidatus Lokiarchaeota archaeon tRNA-Thr". It matches the Rfam family "tRNA". Rfam says of the family: Transfer RNA (tRNA) molecules are approximately 80 nucleotides in length. Their secondary structure includes four short double-helical elements and three loops (D, anti-codon, and T loops). Lineage: Archaea; Promethearchaeati; Promethearchaeota. The record is from RNAcentral.